UAAACUGCGGUGGAAGAAGAGCAGGUAAUACGGAGGAUCAAAGCGUGUUCCGGAAUCAGUGGGUUUAAAGGGUCCGUAGGCGGCCUUAUAAGGCAGCGGUGAAAGUUUUUGGCUUAACCAAAAAAUUGCCAUUGAUACGGUAGGGCUUGAAUAUUUGUGAAGGAACUAGAAUAUGUAGUGUAGCGGUGAAAUGCUUAGAUAUUACAUGGAAUACCAAGUGCGAAGGCAGGUUACUAACAAAUGAUUGACGCUGAUGGACGAAAGCGUGGGUAGCGAACAGGAUUAGAUACCCGGGUAGUC
RNAcentral lists this ribosomal RNA (300 nucleotides) under uncultured Lachnospira sp. Its description in RNAcentral is "bacterial SSU rRNA". It matches the Rfam family "Bacterial small subunit ribosomal RNA", at positions 497 to 795 of the family's 1533-position model. The record is from RNAcentral. Lineage: Bacteria; Bacillati; Bacillota; Clostridia; Lachnospirales; Lachnospiraceae.